Nerophis ophidion (straightnose pipefish) is the source of this 1083-nucleotide long non-coding RNA. RefSeq lists it as uncharacterized. The transcript has 8 exons. The record is from RefSeq and is a predicted model, not a curated record. Lineage: Eukaryota; Metazoa; Chordata; Actinopteri; Syngnathiformes; Syngnathidae.
CGGCAGCGUCAACGUCCUCUUUCGCCUUGGAACGUCAGCAUGAUGUGGUCGUCUCCUGAAGAGGAUGCCACCGUCUCGUUGCUUCAGACCGGCAGUUGAUCCUGAAAUGUGAGGUACACAGGGAAGACCCCCAUUCAGCUGGGUGUCAUUACCUCGCCGAAAUCACAGCGUAAUGUGGCAGUCAAAUUGCUUUGAGCCCUGAGCAUGGACAUCCCUAACCAAGGGUUACACUGAUGGCCGAUGCACCUACCUAGAUCUUGCCGCAAGAAGUUUGUUACACUGAUGGCAGAUGAAUCCACCAAGAGCUUGCCGCAAUAUUUUUGCGGAAGGCAGGAUACACUCUGGACAAGUCUCCACCUCAUAAACCAUCACGCAGAAAAUAUAUUUAAAACCAAUGAAGCUAAACAUCAGUAAGUGAGAUUUACAUUAGUAGAAGUUAAAUUGUUGGGUAACUUCUGAGAAACUGCGUUUUCCAAGCUGAUGUAAAAGCACUGCUUUCAAAGUAGAACUUGAGAAACUAAACGUUUUACACUUGUUAGACUGAAUAUUUAUAUUGACAUUUUGAAGACCUCAACUGCAAGUUAUAUUUUAAAUAUUUGCUUCAAACUGAUGUCCUUAAACAAUAAUUUCCACUAUUACUACAAACAUUUAUUUUAAUAUAGUUAGAAUAUUGACCUUUAGAUUUAUGUUCUGUUAAAGCAGUGCUUCUCAAACAUUUUCUGUUAUGCCACUGUUAUAAAAAAUUUAAAACUAUACUUCUGCAUAAAAUUGUAAGCUUAUUGAAUUAAAGUAAACAGACUGGUCUUUCCUUGUCUCCCACCGUGCUGAAGCAAAGUGGUACAUACGCUUUAGCAUAUUUUCCACGAAAGUCACAUGCGCCCUCUCACGGGGGCCUGCCCUACUAUUGGAGAAGGACUGAGUUCCAGCAAUUUUGUAAUUUUUACCUGCCAUGCCAUCCUUUUUUGGGAUGGGGGGGGGGGGACAUAUGCCACAUUAAUAUUAUGAUUCUUAUAACGUUACAUCCCUAUUGAAGACUCAUAUUUUAUGUCUGUGUGCCCAUGGUAUAAUCCUAAUAUUAAUUUU